Molecule: long non-coding RNA, 1842 nt
Organism: Halichondria panicea
Lineage: Eukaryota; Metazoa; Porifera; Demospongiae; Suberitida; Halichondriidae
Exons: 5
Source: RefSeq, a predicted model, not a curated record
AAUCAGAAAGUUUCAGUUUCGCUUCUUUGUAGGACACAUAGAUGACGAUACAGCGCUAAUUGAAGCGAAGCUAUCAAAGGACCGAUUGAUUUGUUGAAUGUACACAAAUUAAAGAUGUCAACCGCGAGAUGCUGUAGAUGUAGAACUGGCACCUGUCAGUCGUGUGUGUGCCAUAAGAAAGGCAGCCCCUGCUCAUACUGCCCCCUGCACAUACUGCCCCCCAGGGUCUUCGUGCACAAACAAGGUUAGUCCCUAUAUAGUAGAUCUAUUCUAGUGGGUGGGGGGAAGCAGUUAAUUGUCUCCACCCUCGACCUCACUUCCGCGAUCACUUUAAAUCAACUAACGUAAAUGUUGAUUAUCUUUUUAACAUUAGUAUAAUUAUGUAUUAGAAAAUGGAAAUAGCGAAAAAAUAAUUGAAAUAAUUAUCAAAAACGGUACCUUUAUAAUUAUUAUCACCGUGUUAUCUUAUUCUAUUGUUUUGGAACUUCUCCAACUUGUACUUAUUGUGUUUCAUUUUGGCUAGUUGAGUUUACCAUUGUUUAUUCCAUUCCUAAAAGGCAUUAACAAAAUUGAACAAUAGUUAUGUACUGGGGACCCCAUGAUGGAAAUGCUGUGCUUGCAAGAGAUAUGAAGGUACGUUGGGGUAGAAUGGUAACUGCUUAUAUAGAAAACGGGAUUGCCGUUUCUCGUUUCAUGCCUUUUUUACGUAUUUAACCACCUUUGCAGCAAACCACAAUGAAGCCCUGAAAACAAUGGGAGAAGAGGAAUUCAAGAGGGGCUCGGCACUGACUAGGUAGCCCUAUAGUAAAAUACUAGUAUAACCUGUUUGGUUGUCUGGUUUGAUGUCUGACAACUGCUCUACUGUUUGGUGGCUUCGCGUUGUGCUGAAGUUGUUUGACUGGUGAGUAGUUUGUUCAUAGUGGAAAAGUAUGCCAUUCCUUGAAGAGAAACAUGUGCAACUUUUGAGAUCUAGCGGCCUUGUUGGAAAAGUGCAGCUUUCCACUGAUAUGUCUCAAGAUGACUAUAAAUUAUGGCCGCAGUGUCAUCACAUCCAAGGGUAUAGGUGGGUAUGCAGAAGCAAAGGAAACACAACAUUUUUUGUAAGACAGAGUCUUGAUACCUAAAUCAGACGCGGGAGCAGAGAUAUAGAGCAAUCGCCUAAGACGAGUGCACGAGUUGCACAGAUAUACAAGGAGUUGCUGUAAUUUUCUUACACUUUGUGGUGUAGUUCAAAAAAGUUCGAAAUAUAUAUGGAAAAAGACGAAGUUACAGUAGAAAUCUAAAAGUUGAACAUUAUAAAUUAUAAAUGUCAGGCCAUAUUAGGAUGCCAAGUUGUAUUACCAUCACUAGGCACUUGUGAAAAGAAAAUUAAAGAAACUGCAUGCUAUGCAGGUCAUCAAGAGAUUGUGACUUACUUGAGAAGGUUCGAUGUAGCACUGAUCUACUUGUGGAUAGCGCUGAUUCUGGUAGACUAGAAGAAUCAUGAGUACAGUUGGAUGAGCUUCUGGUGGAGGAUAAACUCACUGGAGUACCCCUACUAGUGUUUGCAAAUAAACAAGACCUAGGGAUGGCUUUAAAAGCUGAUGAUAUCAGCAACGAUAUGAAGCUAACUGAGCUGACUGACAGACGAUGGCAGAUACAACCAUGCUCGGCCAAAACUGAAGAAGGGAUUGCGGUGAGUAGGACACUUAGCCCUAGCUAUCAGCGAGAAUAUUAGAAUAUUGUACCAUUGAGUCUGGUUUUGGGUACCAUAGAGCUGUGCCUAUUGGAAUUAUUAUACGUACUAGGUAAUUGUACAUGCUUUGAUGUUUACUCACUGUAAAGGGUGGAUGGUAAAAAGUG